Molecule: ribosomal RNA, 325 nt
Filed under: uncultured eukaryote
Lineage: Eukaryota
Description: partial 18S ribosomal RNA
Rfam family: Eukaryotic small subunit ribosomal RNA
Source: RNAcentral
CCCUUAGAUGUUCUGGGCUGCACGCGCGCUACACUGAUGCAUUCAACGAGCUUUCGAUCUUGCCCGAGAGGGUUGGAUAAUCUUUUUAAAGUGCAUCGUGAUGGGGAUAGAUUAUUGCAAUUAUUAAUCUUCAACGAGGAAUUCCUAGUAAGCGCGAGUCAUCAGCUCGCAUUGAUUACGUCCCUGCCCUUUGUACACACCGCCCGUCGCACCUACCGAUUGAAUGUUUCGGUGAAGAUUCCGGAUAGGACUUUUUUGAUUUAUUUCAAUUUUGUCUUAAAAGCUAUCUAAACCUCAACAUUUAGAGGAAGGUGAAGUCGUAACA